GUACUGACCCUACGGGGGGCAGCAGUGGGGAAUAUUGGACAAUGGGGGCAACCCUGAUCCAGCCAUGCCGCGUGUGUGAAGAAGGCCUUCGGGUUGUAAAGCACUUUCAGCUGUGAGGAAAGGCGAGUGGUUAAUACCCGCUUGCUGUGACGUUAACAGCAGAAGAAGGACCGGCUAACUCCGUGCCAGCAGCCGCGGUAAUACGGAGGGUCCGAGCGUUAAUCGGAAUUACUGGGCGUAAAGCGCGCGUAGGUGGUU
RNAcentral lists this ribosomal RNA (258 nucleotides) under uncultured Marinobacterium sp. RNAcentral describes it as "partial 16S ribosomal RNA". It matches the Rfam family "Bacterial small subunit ribosomal RNA", at positions 329 to 580 of the family's 1533-position model. The record is from RNAcentral. Lineage: Bacteria; Pseudomonadati; Pseudomonadota; Gammaproteobacteria; Oceanospirillales; Oceanospirillaceae.